RNAcentral lists this ribosomal RNA (497 nucleotides) under uncultured bacterium. RNAcentral describes it as "partial 16S ribosomal RNA". It matches the Rfam family "Bacterial small subunit ribosomal RNA", at positions 28 to 507 of the family's 1533-position model. The record is from RNAcentral.
GAUGAACGCUGGCGGCGUGCCUAAUACAUGCAAGUCGAGCGAACAGACGAGGAGCUUGCUCCUCUAACGUUAGCGGCGGACGGGUGAGUAACACGUGGAUAACCUACCUAUAAGACUGGGAUAACUUCGGGAAACCGGAGCUAAUACCGGAUAAUAUAUUGAACCGCAUGGUUCAAUAGUGAAAGACGGUUUUGCUGUCACUUAUAGAUGGAUCCGCGCCGCAUUAGCUAGUUGGUAAGGUAACAGCUUACCAAGGCAACGAUGCGUAGCCGACCUGAGAGGGUGAUCGGCCAAACUGGAACUGAGACACGGUCCAGACUCCUACGGGAGGCAGCAGUAGGGAAUCUUCCGCAAUGGGCGAAAGCCUGACGGAGCAACGCCGCGUGAGUGAUGAAGGUCUUCGGAUCGUAAAACUCUGUUAUUAGGGAAGAACAAAUGUGUAAGUAACUAUGCACGUCUUGACGGUACCUAAUCAGAAAGCCACGGCUAACUACGUG